GUGGGGAAUCUUCCGCAAUGGACGAAAGUCUGACGGAGCAACGCCGCGUGAGUGAUGACGGCCUUCGGGUUGUAAAGCUCUGUGAUCGGGGACGAAUGGCUGGUAUGCUAAUACCAUAUCAGAGUGACGGUACCCGAAUAGCAAGCCACGGCUAACUACGUGCCAGCAGCCGCGGUAAUACGUAGGUGGCAAGCGUUGUCCGGAAUUAUUGGGCGUAAAGCGCGCACAGGCGGCUUCUUAAGUCCAUCUUAAAAGUGCGGGGCUGAACCCAGUGAUGGGAUGGAAACUGGGAGGCUGGAGUAUCGGAGAGGAAAGUGGAAUUCCUAGUGUAGCGGUGAAAUGCGUAGAGAUUAGGAAGAACACCGGUGGCGAAGGCGACUUUCUGGACGACAACUGACGCUGAGGCGCGAAAGCGUGGGGAGCAAACAGGAUUAGAUACCCCUGUAGUCC
RNAcentral lists this ribosomal RNA (450 nucleotides) under uncultured bacterium. RNAcentral's name for it is "partial 16S ribosomal RNA". It matches the Rfam family "Bacterial small subunit ribosomal RNA", at positions 354 to 796 of the family's 1533-position model. The record is from RNAcentral.